CGGGAAUAUUGGGCAAUGGGCGAAAGCCUGACCCAGCGACGCCGCGUGAGGGAUGAAGGCCUUCGGGUCGUAAACCUCUGUCAUCGGGGACGAAGAAAGUGACGGUACCCGAGGAGGAAGCCCCUGCUAACUACGUGCCAGCAGCCGCGGUAAUACGUAGGGGGCGAGCGUUGUCCGGAGUUAUUGGGCGUAAAGGGCGUGUAGGCGGCUUGUUAAGUCAGGUGUGAAAUUUCAGGGCUUAACCCUGAAACUGCGCUUGAAACUGGCAGGCUCGAGGACAGGAGAGGGAAGUGGAAUUCCCGGUGUAGCGGUGGAAUGCGUAGAUAUCGGGAGGAACACCAGUGGCGAAGGCGGCUUCCUGGACUGUACCUGACGCUGAGGCGCGAAAGCUAGGGGAGCAAAC
Molecule: ribosomal RNA, 403 nt
Filed under: uncultured bacterium
Lineage: Bacteria
Description: bacterial SSU rRNA
Rfam family: Bacterial small subunit ribosomal RNA
Source: RNAcentral